Molecule: long non-coding RNA, 517 nt
Organism: Zalophus californianus (California sea lion)
Lineage: Eukaryota; Metazoa; Chordata; Mammalia; Carnivora; Otariidae
Exons: 4
Source: RefSeq, a predicted model, not a curated record
ACUGGUUCUGAUUCAGAAACCGGACUGCGUCCGGGGUUGGACUAGGUCUGACUUAGAAACCAAGCUACAUCUGCGGUUGGACUGGGUCUGACUGAAACUGAACUAGGUCCAGUGGAGGCCUCGGUUUCUAGUGACCAGGAUGAAAGCCCCUGGAACAGCCCACUCACUUUGGAGCCUACGGAUCCUGGGAAAACUGGCAGACACCCGCAGAGGGUGAGAAUUCCUACCAGCUCUCCUAGGUGUCUACUGUGGUGCCUGAUCAAGGGAAGAAGAGGAAAAAGUCAUUCUAUGAAUGAAGACUUACACCAACAAUUUAAAAUGGCUUCCUGAUGGAAAUAUUCCCAGUACAAAAAUAAUCAGGUGAUGGAAAUAAGAUUAAGUAAGCUUGCCCAAAGUGAUAAGGUGACAAAGUGACAUAAGAAUACCAAGAUACAACCUAUGUCUGGCAUUGCUGUGUUGCCUACAAAAAAGACCUCAGACGUUCCUGCUUGGUUUUUUGCCUGCAUAAACAUACUUA